GAAUUCGAUUCAGGCCUAACACAUGCAAGUCGAACGGCAGCACGGGUGCUUGCACCUGGUGGCGAGUGGCGAACGGGUGAGUAAUAUAUCGGAACGUACCUUAUCGUGGGGGAUAACGCAGCGAAAGCUGUGCUAAUACCGCAUAAGCCCUAAGGGGGAAAGCAGGGGACCGUAAGGCCUUGCGCGAUUAGAGCGGCCGAUACCUGAUUAGCUAGUUGGUGAGGUAAAGGCUCACCAAGGCAACGAUCAGUAGCUGGUCUGAGAGGACGAUCAGCCACACUGGGACUGAGACACGGCCCAGACUCCUACGGGAGGCAGCAGUGGGGAAUUUUGGACAAUGGGGGCAACCCUGAUCCAGAAAGGCCGCGUGAGUGAAGAAGGCCUUCGGGUUGUAACUCUAAGUGGUCAGGGAAGAAACAGCAGCUCUAAUACAGUA
Molecule: ribosomal RNA, 436 nt
Filed under: uncultured bacterium
Lineage: Bacteria
Description: bacterial SSU rRNA
Rfam family: Bacterial small subunit ribosomal RNA
Source: RNAcentral